Molecule: ribosomal RNA, 492 nt
Filed under: uncultured bacterium
Lineage: Bacteria
Description: partial 16S ribosomal RNA
Rfam family: Bacterial small subunit ribosomal RNA
Source: RNAcentral
AGUGAACGCUGGCAGUAGGCCUAACACAUGCAAGUCGAACGGCAGCACAGUAAGAGCUUGCUCUUACGGGUGGCGAGUGGCGGACGGGUGAGGAAUACAUCGGAAUCUACUUUUUCGUGGGGGAUAACGUAGGGAAACUUACGCUAAUACCGCAUACGACCUACGGGUGAAAGCAGGGGAUCUUCGGACCUUGCGCGAUUGAAUGAGCCGAUGUCGGAUUAGCUAGUUGGCGGGGUAAAGGCCCACCAAGGCGACGAUCCGUAGCUGGUCUGAGAGGAUGAUCAGCCACACUGGAACUGAGACACGGUCCAGACUCCUACGGGAGGCAGCAGUGGGGAAUAUUGGACAAUGGGCGCAAGCCUGAUCCAGCCAUACCGCGUGGGUGAAGAAGGCUUUCGGGUUGUAAAGCCCUUUUGUUGGGAAAGAAAAGCAGCAGGUUAAUACCCCGCUGUUCUGACGGUACCCAAAGAAUAAGCACCGGCUAACUUCGUG